Triticum aestivum (bread wheat) is the source of this 498-nucleotide long non-coding RNA. RefSeq lists it as uncharacterized. Lineage: Eukaryota; Viridiplantae; Streptophyta; Magnoliopsida; Poales; Poaceae. The transcript is spliced from 2 exons. The record is from RefSeq and is a predicted model, not a curated record.
CAGAAGCCAGAAGAAAGAGGGAACGGUCCAGUCCUCAACAAGAUCGGCGGAGAGAGAGAGAGAGAGAGAGAGCAAAGAUGAAGGGCGGCGGCAAGAAGUUCGGCGGCGGGCGGCUGCCGACGGGGACCCCGUCGCUGGCCUGGUCAUCGGUGGUCGUGGUGGCCUCCCUCCUCGCAGGGGCCUCCGUCGUCCACAACGUCUACAAGCCCGACAUGACCAUUCCGCCGGUAGAGAGUGCUGACGGCGGACGCGGCGGCAAUGACGGCAAGCAGAACUGAGCUGGUUUCACGGAGAGCGCCGGUGGAGACGGAUUCUGUUCCUUUGCAAGAACCAUGUUCUGCAUUGCACUGCCAUCUGCGUGCCUCCAACCGUUUCUGGCAGCGCAUCUUGUUGUGCUUACCAGAGGAGCACAGCAUUCUGCUGCUCGUUACCCAUUGGAAUCAAACUAACAUUGUAUGAUUUACGUAUCUUAUUCAAAGGGAUUUAGUGUUUGCAGGA